This 1906-nucleotide long non-coding RNA is filed under the name Equus asinus (donkey). RNAcentral's name for it is "lncRNA (ENSEASG00005030105.1)". The record is from RNAcentral. Lineage: Eukaryota; Metazoa; Chordata; Mammalia; Perissodactyla; Equidae.
AGACAACUCCGUCAGUGCUAUUUACACUCUGGACUAGCCUUUACCCGAGGUCACAUGCUUGCUGUCUCUUUCCCCUUCCCUGUCUUUUCCUCUGUCUCAUAUAGGUUUUUCCUAAAGAGAACUUUCACAGUAAAUCAUAUGUGCCUGAAUUCCUAUCUCAGGCCCUGCUUCUAGGGAAUUCUACUUAAGGUGGGCCCAAUGUAACGCAAGAAGCAGCAGGAGGCAAAACAAGACAGUAUAUGAGGGCUGCCCGCAGGAGAAAGAAUUGAUUGUCCAGGGCAUUAGUAGAUGGAAUGGGGCUAUGAGCCAAUGAAUGCUGGCAGCUUCUAGACUCUAGAAAAAGCACGGAGAUGGAUUUUCCCUUAGGACCUCCAGAAGGAAAGCUCUCCAUCAGACUUCUGACCUACAGAACUGAGGAUUUCCUACACAGCACAAUUGGGCUCCUGAGACAUCUACACAGUUAUACAUCUGAAGGUGGGUGGAUUGGAUCCCUGGGAAACAGUAGAACUAGGGUGCAGAUGGGGUCUCAGCAACUCAUAUGGGAGUUCCCAUUUGUUCACGCAGGACUUCACACGACUUCUGGAAAUCUCAACGGAGUGAAUCAAAGGUUGUUUAUAUUUCUGUUGGACUACAUUUUGGAUUUUGUAAAUUCAAGAGGAAAACAUGCAUCAGAUCCGUUUAUUUAAAGCAAUGUAGUGAUCAGAAGAACAAUUGAUUAUUUAAAGGUAAAUGGAUUUGGUCAGCAAAAUCAAAUGAUCUUGGAAACAUCAGCUUGAUAAACAUACAAAUGAACUUUAACCUGUGCUAAAUGCUUUUUAUUUCCUGAGAAUUAUUGAACAACGUUUUCAGGGAAAGUUAAAUAGAUUCACUACAAACUGUUACAUCUAGACUCUUUUUCAAUUUACACAAGGUUAUAUAUUGUUAUGGCAAAAUGAUACUAUUUUAAUAUAUUUCAUUUCAAUAUAUUAGUUCAGAAACUUUAUUCUGUGCUAUUUACAUUUCAAAUGUCUUAAGCAUAGAGAAGAAAAUUGAAUGUCCUAUUAGGGGAGAUAUUUAAGCAUCUAAACUUUAAUCUUAUUGUUAAAUACAUGGGUUUAGGCAUUUCUUCAAAAAAAAAAAAAAGAAAGGUAUAGAUUUGUAAGUAUAAGUAAAGGCACCAAAUCAAAUCCUGGAAGGGAAACUUCAGAGGGUUAGAAGAGGUUCAAAUAUAUGCAUCAGGAUCUCAACCUCAAAACUUACAUACAGUAGCAUAUUUUAACAAUUGUUAAAGCAUGUAGGAAAGUUCAAGGAUAAUGGUCAGUUAGUUGCUGUACACGGUCAAGUGCUAAAACACAAAUCCAGUUAAUAUGUAUGGAAGUGAUUAUAUGAUAAAGAAUAAGUCAGUUGUGAGCCGCAGAAACGUGUUGUUUAUACGCAAUGGGCUGAACAGAAAAGCGAAGAACCGUAGCUUUACUGUGACACCAAAUGUAAAUAAGAACCUAAAAUGCUGCAAGAAACUGACGACAGCCCCUUAGUUCCUACGUGGACGCUCUGUCUUGAACAAUUUAAAAAUCUCAUCUCCGAGGGUCAGUUAGCUCGGUUGGUUAGAGCAUGGUGCUAAAAAAAUAUCAUCUCAUCCAGAGAGGUUACAGUGAUUAGCUCAUUUAAUGACAAUACUAUUAUUAAGAAUAAGCAUUUAUUAGCAAGCACACUGAUAGGUAUUUCAUAUUUAUUCUCUCAUUUAACCCUUGCAACAAUUCUCAGAUGUUCCAUUAUCCCUAUUUCAAAGCUCUUUAAACUAAGGCACAUAGAAAUAUAAUAACUUGCCCAGGGUCACUCACUGGAAGUGACAGAACCAGGAUUCAGUCAUAAAUCCUUUUGACUCUGGGGAUCAUGCUCUUAACUACUUUAAUCUGUUACCUCUCUU